RNAcentral lists this ribosomal RNA (437 nucleotides) under uncultured Oscillospiraceae bacterium. Its description in RNAcentral is "partial 16S ribosomal RNA". It matches the Rfam family "Bacterial small subunit ribosomal RNA", at positions 341 to 792 of the family's 1533-position model. Lineage: Bacteria; Bacillati; Bacillota; Clostridia; Eubacteriales; Oscillospiraceae. The record is from RNAcentral.
ACGGAAGGUAGCAGUGGGGAAUAUUGGGCAAUGGGCGAAAGCCUGACCCAGCGACGCCGCGUGAAGGAAGAAGGCCUUCGGGUUGUAAACUUCAGUCAACAGGGAAGAAACAAAUGACGGUACCUGUGGAGGAAGCAACGGCUAACUACGUGCCAGCAGCCGCGGUAAUACGUAGGUUGCAAGCGUUGUCCGGAUUUACUGGGUGUAAAGGGCGUGUAGGCGGAGCUGCAAGUCAGAUGUGAAAUCCCGGGGCUUAACCCCGGAACUGCAUUUGAAACUGUAGCCCUUGAGUAUCGGAGAGGCAAGCGGAAUUCCUAGUGUAGCGGUGAAAUGCGUAGAUAUUAGGAGGAACACCAGUGGCGAAGGCGGCUUGCUGGACGACAACUGACGCUGAGGCGCGAAAGCGUGGGGAGCAAACAGGAUUAGAUACCCUGGUA